GAUGAACGCUGGCGGCGUGCCUAAUACAUGCAAGUCGAGCGAACAGAUGAGGAGCUUGCUCCUCUGGCGUUAGCGGCGGACGGGUGAGUAACACGUGGAUAACCUACCUAUAAGACUGGGAUAACUUCGGGAAACCGGAGCUAAUACCGGAUAAUAUAUUGAACCGCAUGGUUCAAUAGUGAAAGACGGUUUUGCUGUCACUUAUAGAUGGAUCCGCGCCGCAUUAGCUAGUUGGUAAGGUAACGGCUUACCAAGGCAACGAUGCGUAGCCGACCUGAGGGGGUGAUCGGCCACACUGGAACUGAGACACGGUCCAGACUCCUACGGGAGGCAGCAGUAGGGAAUCUUCCGCAAUGGGCGAAAGCCUGACGGAGCAACGCCGCGUGAGUGAUGAAGGUCUUCGGAUCGUAAAACUCUGUUAUUAGGGAAGAACAAAUGUGUAAGUAACUAUGCACGUCUUGACGGUACCUAAUCAGAAAGCCACGGCUAACUACGUG
RNAcentral lists this ribosomal RNA (497 nucleotides) under uncultured bacterium. RNAcentral's name for it is "partial 16S ribosomal RNA". It matches the Rfam family "Bacterial small subunit ribosomal RNA", at positions 28 to 507 of the family's 1533-position model. The record is from RNAcentral.